Molecule: transfer RNA, 114 nt
Filed under: Colletotrichum tofieldiae
Lineage: Eukaryota; Fungi; Ascomycota; Sordariomycetes; Glomerellales; Glomerellaceae
Rfam family: tRNA
About the family: Transfer RNA (tRNA) molecules are approximately 80 nucleotides in length. Their secondary structure includes four short double-helical elements and three loops (D, anti-codon, and T loops). Further hydrogen bonds mediate the characteristic L-shaped molecular structure. tRNAs have two regions of fundamental functional importance: the anti-codon, which is responsible for specific mRNA codon recognition, and the 3' end, to which the tRNAs corresponding amino acid is attached (by aminoacyl-tRNA synthetases). tRNAs cope with the degeneracy of the genetic code in two manners: having more than one tRNA (with a specific anti-codon) for a particular amino acid; and 'wobble' base-pairing, i.e. permitting non-standard base-pairing at the 3rd anti-codon position.
Source: Rfam by way of RNAcentral
GGCAACAUGCCCGAGUGGUUAAGGGGACAGACUUGAACCAAGCCGGUCUCCGAUCGGUGUAUUCUAAGGUAUCUGUUGGCUUCGGCCGCGUAGGUUCGAACCCUGCUGUUGUCG